GAUGAACGCUGGCGGCGUGCCUAAUACAUGCAAGUCGAGCGAACGGACGAGAAGCUUGCUUCUCUGAUGUUAGCGGCGGACGGGUGAGUAACACGUGGAUAACCUACCUAUAAGACUGGGAUAACUUCGGGAAACCGGAGCUAAUACCGGAUGAUAUUUUGAACCGCAUGGUUCAAAAGUGAAAGACGGUCUUGCUGUCACUUAUAGAUGGAUCCGCGCUGCAUUAGCUAGUUGGUAAGGUAACGGCUUACCAAGGAAACGAUGCAUAGCCGACCUGAGAGGGUGAUCGGCCACACUGGAACUGAGACACGGUCCAGACUCCUACGGGAGGCAGCAGUAGGGAAUCUUCCGCAAUGGGCGAAAGCCUGACGGAGCAACGCCGCGUGAGUGAUGAAGGUCUUCGGAUCGUAAAACUCUGUCAUUAGGGAAGAACAUAUGUGUAAGUAACUGUGCACAUCUUGACGGUACCUAAUCAGAAAGCCACGGCUAACUACGUG
This 497-nucleotide ribosomal RNA is filed under the name uncultured bacterium. RNAcentral's name for it is "partial 16S ribosomal RNA". It matches the Rfam family "Bacterial small subunit ribosomal RNA", at positions 28 to 507 of the family's 1533-position model. The record is from RNAcentral.